AAAGUGUAUGUUAUGCUCAGACAGUUGUUUAAUUUUAAGAUCUAAAUCCAGGGAGUGAUCAGUAAAGGCAGACAACAUGUUUGGUGUAAACAUAGUUUUACUGGAGACAAUGACUAUGUCAUCCACAUACCUUAGCAUUAGAUGUAUAUAUGUAUUUAUUGAGGGUAGAAUGGUUUGUUCCUUAUGCGUGAUAACUAGUUCAGCCAUGAUACCUCCAUUGCACCACCUAUUCAGAUUUCUACAUUUUACCAUUUCAUUACAUUCUACAUUUCUACAUAAACUGAAUUGUAUGUAAUUCAGUAGCAGAGGUCUCUUAAAAGACUAGGUGUGACUGCCAUCCCCUGUGUGUUCUCGAACAAAAACCUACCAUAUAUACUUGAAUAUAAGCCAAUCCAUGUAAAAGCCAACCCCCAACUUCAGAGUUUGAAAAUUGGUAAAAAGUGUGAAACCCAUGUAUAAGUCUACCUCCUGACUUUAGCAUUAAAAUUGAUAAAAAUUUGAAAGCAAUAAAUUAUGUGAUCUUUGAUUUUUAAUUAUUGAUAUAUUAAUGCC
This 552-nucleotide long non-coding RNA is filed under the name Androctonus crassicauda. Lineage: Eukaryota; Metazoa; Arthropoda; Arachnida; Scorpiones; Buthidae. The record is from RNAcentral.